AAGUAGUUGGGUCUAGCGACGCGCAUUUCAAGCGCCCGUGAAAUCGGGUCAAACCGCCGGCUGCGUUGGCGUUGCGGGCUCGGUCCGUCGGUGCCCCACAAAGGGCUAUCGGCGUGUCAAUAGGCCCGCCCGUAACCUCCUUCUGGAUUCCCGUAACUGCUAUUGAGUUAGUGGGGACGUCACAGGGGGUCCAUCGUCGUGCGGCGUCAAAACCGUGCGGCGGUGGGUCCCUGGGGCCCAGAUCGUAAACCGUGAAAAAAUUAGAGUGUUCAAAGCAGGCAGAUCCAAUUUUCUGCCACCGAAUACAUUAGCAUGGGAUAAUGCAAUAGGACCCUGUCCUCCUAUUUUCAGUUGGUUUUGGCAGCGCGAGGACUAGGGUAAUGACCAAUAGGGAUAGUUGGGGGCAUUAAUAUUUAAUUGAGAGAGGUGAAAUUCUUGGAUUUAUGAAAGAUUAACUUCUGCGAAAGCAUCUGCCAAGGAAGUUUUCAUUAAUCAAGAACGAAAGUUAGGGGAUCGCUGACGAUCAGAUACCGUCGUAGUCUUGGCCAUAAACGAUGCCGACCAGCGAUUAGGAGACGUUGAAUACAAAACACCACCAUCGGUGCGGUCGUCCUUGGCGUCUCGGUCCUUCACGGGGCCGGGGCGCAAAAGUGGCUUAGCCCGGUGGCACCGCAGAAUGACUCCGCUAGCAGCUUGUGAGAAAUCAUAAGUCUUUGGGCC
This 720-nucleotide ribosomal RNA is filed under the name Acanthamoeba polyphaga. RNAcentral describes it as "SSU rRNA". It matches the Rfam family "Eukaryotic small subunit ribosomal RNA", at positions 725 to 1112 of the family's 1831-position model. Lineage: Eukaryota; Discosea; Longamoebia; Acanthamoebidae. The record is from RNAcentral.